AGAGUUUGAUCAUGGCUCAGAUUGAACGCUGGCGGAAUGCUUUACACGUGCAAGUCGAACGGCAGCACGGGGCAACCUGGUGGCGAGUGGCGAACGGGUGAGUAAUACAUCGGAACGUGCCCAAUCGUGGGGGAUAACGUAGCGAAAGUUACGCUAAUACCGCAUACGAUCUACGGAUGAAAGCGGGGGAUCGCAAGACCUCGCGCGAAUGGAGCGGCCGAUGUCAGAUUAGGUAGUUGGUGGGGUAAAGGCUCACCAAGCCAACGAUCUGUAGCUGGUCUGAGAGGACGACCAGCCACACUGGAACUGAGACACGGUCCAGACUCCUACGGGAGGCAGCAGUGGGGAAUUUUGGACAAUGGGCGCAAGCCUGAUCCAGCCAUUCCGCGUGCAGGAUGAAGGCUUCGGGUUGUAAACUGCUUUUGUACGGAACGAAACGGCGAGCUCUAAUACAGUUUGCUAAUGACGGUACCGUAAGAAUAAGCACCGGCUAACUACGUG
Molecule: ribosomal RNA, 501 nt
Filed under: uncultured bacterium
Lineage: Bacteria
Description: bacterial SSU rRNA
Rfam family: Bacterial small subunit ribosomal RNA
Source: RNAcentral